CAGCCGCCACGGUAAUACGGAGGGUGCAAGCGUUAAUCGGAAUUACUGGGCGUAAAGCGCACGCAGGCGGUCUGACAAGUCAGAUGUGAAAUCCCCGGGCUUAACCUGGGAACUGCAUUUGAAACUGUCAGGCUGGAGUCUUGUAGAGGGGGGUAGAAUUCCAGGUGUAGCGGUGAAAUGCGUAGAGAUCUGGAGGAAUACCGGUGGCGAAGGCGGCCCCCUGGACAAAGACUGACGCUCAGGUGCGAAAGCGUGGGGAGCAAACAGGAUUAGAUACCCGAGUAGUCCCUGUCUCUUAUAC
RNAcentral lists this ribosomal RNA (301 nucleotides) under uncultured bacterium. RNAcentral's name for it is "partial 16S ribosomal RNA". It matches the Rfam family "Bacterial small subunit ribosomal RNA", at positions 509 to 807 of the family's 1533-position model. The record is from RNAcentral.